Triticum aestivum (bread wheat) is the source of this 135-nucleotide non-coding RNA. The record is from Rfam. Lineage: Eukaryota; Viridiplantae; Streptophyta; Magnoliopsida; Poales; Poaceae.
AUAGUAUUACCUCCAUCCCAAAUUAGUUGUCUUAGAUUUGUCUAGAUAUGGAUGUAUCUAACACAAAAACAUGUCUAGAUACAUUCGUAUCAAGACUAACCUAAGACAAUUAAUUCGGGACAGAGGGAGUUCUUC